GUAGUCAUAUGCUUGUCUCAAAGAUUAAGCCAUGCAUGUCUAAGUAUAAGCAAUCUAUACGGCGAAACUGCGAAUGGCUCAUUAAAUCAGUUAUCGUUUAUUUGAUAGUACCUUACUACUUGGAUAACCGUGGUAAUUCUAGAGCUAAUACAUGCUAAAAACUCCGACUUCGGAAGGGGUGUAUUUAUUAGAUAAAAAACCAAUGCCCUUCGGGGCUCCUUGGUGAUUCAUAAUAACUUAACGAAUCGCAUGGCCUUGUGCCGGCGAUGGUUCAUUCAAAUUUCUGCCCUAUCAACUUUCGAUGGUAGGAUAGUGGCCUACCAUGGUUUCAACGGGUAACGGGGAAU
This 347-nucleotide ribosomal RNA is filed under the name uncultured fungus. RNAcentral's name for it is "SSU rRNA". It matches the Rfam family "Eukaryotic small subunit ribosomal RNA", at positions 20 to 370 of the family's 1831-position model. Lineage: Eukaryota; Fungi. The record is from RNAcentral.